UCUUCGUGCAUUUGGCAAGUUAAAUAACUGCCCGUGAUGUCAGAAUGAAAUAUUUACACAACCAUGUAGCUGGCUGUAUUAGGCCCUUUCACAAUUUGACGCGGUGUUGUGCAAUCAUAAGUUUGCAGUUUCAGCAGUGAUUGCAAUAAACUGAACAUUUCUUAUUGUUUAGGGAUGUCACGAUUUCGUGAAACGGAGGCAUCUCUACACCACAUGAGAGCCUGGGGCAAAAUGCAGCCUGAGCAGCCCGACAAGGAAUCUGAUCUGCUUGCUUUGACAAGGUAUGGCUGGGCCUGCAGAGAAAGUGUAAACAGACUGCUGUGUUGCUGAUCAGUGCUGAUCUCCACACCUGAGUUGGUCCCACAACAUCCAGCCACCAGUGUGCUUUGCUUCAUCAUUGACAAGGUGCGCUGCAAGCUGUCACUCAAGCAACACAUUCCAGUGGUGUUCUUUCAACAGAAUGGGUGUAUUGAAGUACCAUUACAAGGUCCAAUAAACAACGCUUGCGAGAUGUACGACGUGCUCUUGCUUAAAAUAGGAGGACUUCACUAUUAAUGUUAGCUUGAAUAGGUGUGCUGAUGAACCUGUGUUAAGUGUACUUGUUUAUUAACAAGUACAAACCAUUACCUCACCUGACAUUUUUUCACGUCAACAUAACUAUUUACUGUAGAUUUCUGAACGAGCCAUUACAUCAGCACAACACUGCAGUAAGGUCAGCACAAGUGUUCGUGCAUGAACACUUGUAUUUACAAGAAUUGUAUUUGCAUUAUUAUACUAAGUAUGACUCUAAGGUGCCUAUCUUUUUCAGGGUGCAUACUCUCGCAGGUCGUACAAGCUCGUCAUCUUGUACGCACUCAGCUCAUAGAAACAAACUCGUUCAUUUAGUAUGAGAAUCUCGUUCAGUGACAAGAGCGCGAUCUCGUACACUAGUGUAAGAGUUCUCGUAGACUGAUCGAGUUCUCGUACAGUCUACGAAGCAAUAAUCGUGUACAACUAUUUCUCGUACAUUCUCGUUCACAAUUUUUCCUUACCA
Molecule: long non-coding RNA, 1033 nt
Organism: Dermacentor silvarum
Lineage: Eukaryota; Metazoa; Arthropoda; Arachnida; Ixodida; Ixodidae
Exons: 3
Source: RefSeq, a predicted model, not a curated record